Molecule: ribosomal RNA, 406 nt
Filed under: uncultured bacterium
Lineage: Bacteria
Description: partial 16S ribosomal RNA
Rfam family: Bacterial small subunit ribosomal RNA
Source: RNAcentral
AUUGAACGCUGGCGGCAGGCCUAACACAUGCAAGUCGAACGAGUGGCGGACGGGUGAGUAAUGUCUGGGAAACUGCCUGAUGGAGGGGGAUAACUACUGGAAACGGUAGCUAAUACCGCAUACCAUCGGAUGUGCCCAGGUGGGAUUAGCUGGUGGGUGGGGUAAAGGCUCACCUAGGCGACGAUCCCUAGCUUGUCUGAGAGGAUGACCAGCCACACUGGAACUGAGACACGGUCCAGAGUCCUACGGGAGUCAGCAGUGGGGAAUAUUGCACAAUUGGCGCAAGCCUGAUGCAGCCAUGCCGCGUGUAUGAAGAAGGCCUUCGGGUUGUAAAGUACUUUCAGCGGGGAGGCGUUACCCGCAGAAGAAGCACCGGCUAACUCCGUGCCAGCAGCCGCGGUAAUUC